GAUGAACGCUGGCGGCGUGCUUAACACAUGCAAGUCGAACGGAAAGGCUCCUGCUUGCAGGGGUACUCGAGUGGCGAACGGGUGAGUAACACGUGGGUGAUCUGCCCAGCACUUCGGGAUAAGCCUGGGAAACUGGGUCUAAUACCGGAUAGGACGAUGGUUUGGAUGCCAUUGUGGAAAGUUUUUUCGGUGUGGGAUGAGCUCGCGGCCUAUCAGCUUGUUGGUGGGGUAAUGGCCUACCAAGGCGUCGACGGGUAGCCGGCCUGAGAGGGUGUACGGCCACAUUGGGACUGAGAUACGGCCCAGACUCCUACGGGACGCAGCAGUGGGGAAUAUUGCACAAUGGGCGCAAGCCUGAUGCAGCGACGCCGCGUGGGGGAUGACGGCCUUCGGGUUGUAAACUCCUUUCGCUAGGGACGAAGCGCAAGUGACGGUACCUGGAGAAGAAGCACCGGCUAACUACGUG
Molecule: ribosomal RNA, 466 nt
Filed under: uncultured bacterium
Lineage: Bacteria
Description: partial 16S ribosomal RNA
Rfam family: Bacterial small subunit ribosomal RNA
Source: RNAcentral